Molecule: ribosomal RNA, 326 nt
Filed under: Limosilactobacillus fermentum
Lineage: Bacteria; Bacillati; Bacillota; Bacilli; Lactobacillales; Lactobacillaceae
Description: bacterial SSU rRNA
Rfam family: Bacterial small subunit ribosomal RNA
Source: RNAcentral
GAGCAUGUGGUUUAAUUCGAAGCUACGCGAAGAACCUUACCAGGUCUUGACAUCUUGCGCCAACCCUAGAGAUAGGGCGUUUCCUUCGGGAACGCAAUGACAGGUGGUGCAUGGUCGUCGUCAGCUCGUGUCGUGAGAUGUUGGGUUAAGUCCCGCAACGAGCGCAACCCUUGUUACUAGUUGCCAGCAUUAAGUUGGGCACUCUAGUGAGACUGCCGGUGACAAACCGGAGGAAGGUGGGGACGACGUCAGAUCAUCAUGCCCCUUAUGACCUGGGCUACACACGUGCUACAAUGGACGGUACAACGAGUCGCGAACUCGCGAGG